RNAcentral lists this unclassified non-coding RNA (286 nucleotides) under uncultured fungus. RNAcentral describes it as "partial contains 5.8S rRNA, ITS2 and 28S rRNA". It matches the Rfam family "Eukaryotic large subunit ribosomal RNA", at positions 668 to 960 of the family's 3401-position model. The record is from RNAcentral. Lineage: Eukaryota; Fungi.
AAGGAGUCGUCUUCGUGUGCGAGUGUUCGGGUGUCAAACCCCUACGCGUAAUGAAAGUGAACGCAGGUGAGAGCUUCGGCGCAUCAUCGACCGAUCCUGAUGUUCACGGAUGGAUUUGAGUAAGAGCAUACGGGGCCGGACCCGAAAGAAGGUGAACUAUGCCUGAAUAGGGUGAAGCCAGAGGAAACUCUGGUGGAGGCUCGCAGCGGUUCUGACGUGCAAAUCGAUCGUCAAAUAUGGGCAUGGGGGCGAAAGACUAAUCGAACCUUCUAGUAGCUGGUUUCCG